AAGAGAGGGUGCCCUCAUUCCUCUGAAGGAAAGACAGAGGUUUUGUCAUAUACAAGAGGCAAUGGCAGAAGUCUAGGAGAACUCUACGGAGAAGAUGAAAAGAAAAGGAAGAGGUGGUGGCCAUUCUGUAGAAACAAGAGGAAUGUGUAAUAUUCACAUUUUCCUUAUACAAGUUUUUUGAGAAUUACUGCUUCAAAGAACACAUAAACAGCCUGUGAUUGGCCUCUCUUUAUGUCACCCGGGAUCCCUUUGGGGUAUGAGGGCACAAUGGGAGUGCACACAGGAGAGAGAGUGACCUUUCCUAGUGCUGGACCAAGAGCUUAAACCUCCAGGCCAGGGUCAAUGAGUUAUUUUCUUCCCUUGGGGGACAUGUGCUUGAGCUGUCUCAUAAUUAGACUCCUAAGCACAGAAUUACUUUGAAUGUAGGGGGUCUUUUUUAAAUAUAUAAAUUUUCCUCAUAGAUAUGAAUCUAAGUGAAUUCAGGUGAGAACUGUCAGGCAGGCUGAAAGCCAGGAGGGAUCCAGUGUGUCCCCAAAUCUCUAUGAUGUCUAUGAAGGUUUCCGAGAGACAGCAGUGAGAAGGCACACCAGGAGCUGGGGAGCACUCAUGUGCGAAGAACAAGGAAGAGGAUAAUUUGGCCCUACUCAACCGGAGUGGUGGAUCCAAAGUUGGUAGAGUUAUCAUGGCGGAGCAUCUUUGGCAGCAGUGUGGAGGAGGGACUGGAGUGCAGAGAGGCUUGAGGCCAAGAGACCAGUGCAGAGGUCCCUGCAGGACUCCGGGCUACAGACAAUGAGGACCUCACCUCCAGUAGAAUCUCAAACGAGGGUUGUCCUCCCAAGUAGCCUCACGGGGAGAUUCUACACUCCUCCUAAUAAUGCCUUCCUUGCUGCAGACGUUUUUGGAAUCACCUUUGGAAGAAGCUCCCUAAAGGAACUAGAAAUCCACCGUCACACUGAAGCCACCCGAGUGUUAGGGGUGCGAUGGCUCACCUCGGCCAUCUGCUUUAUUGCUGAAUGAACAGCCGCCUGGCUUAUUUCUUAAAUAUGAUGCUUCUUCCAACACUGAAAGCACCCCGGCUCCAAGGAGGUUCCCAAAGACAUGCCCUGUGAAAAGUAGAGCCUCUCCUCGUGACCGUUUGCCGAGCGACUGACCCUCCUCCAGGUCUUAAAGUGACUCAGUCUGUUUCCAAAUGGCUUCUCUGACCACCUCCAUGCUCCUACCCGCCAUGUCCUCCCUCCUCCUCUUGGCCUCUUGGAAUCCCUGGAUUCCUUCAAGACUUAACUCAAGUGACGCCUCCUGUGGGAAGCCUCCCCUGAUCACUCCCACCCCACCCUAUUCAAUGAUGCUCUUUAUGUCUGAGAUUACUUUGUAUUUCUUGUACAUUAGAGAGGCAGUAGAUCAGAGUCGAUAGGAAGCCAGCCUCCAAGGCAACCUGAUCUGGGCUAAGAGUCGCCUCUGGUGGAUACUGGCUUAAAGACCUUGUCAUUCAUUUUUUAUUAUUAUUUAGUCGAUGGGUCAUGUCCAGCUCUUUGCACCCCAUUUGGGGUUUUCCUGGCAAAGAUACUGGAACGAUUUGCUACUUCCUGCUCCAGCUCAUUUGACAGAUAGGGAAGUAAGGUAAACAGUUAAAAGACAGCCAGUAUCUGUGGCCGGACUCGAAUUCAGAUCCUCUUGACUUUAUCCACUGAACCACUUAGCUACCCCUAAUUACCCCUGGCAAAUCAGUCAACUUCCCGGUGUUGUAGGGCAAUAGUGUGAAACUCAAAUCGAAACAGGGUCCACUAGAUACACAGAAGCAUCCCUGCGGGCUCCAUGUUGACUUAGAAAACCACAGAUUUUUAAGGUUUCUUUUUACUACGUCGGCACAUUAAAAUCACGUAGGGACUGCAAUUUACUCUGGUUCAGGCUGCCCCCGCCCCGUUCCCCCAUUUGGCACCUCCUGGCAGUUCUCUAAAACCAACAAAGCAGGUACCAAUCUGCAUCAGAAGAACGGCUCUCCUCACCCGGGAAAGCAGGUCGAGCCCCUUCUCAUAUAUUUUACGAUCUGCUUCAUCUGAAAGUGAAGGGGAGAAGUGACCGUGUCCCACCCCCCUUGUUAGGCUGUCUGCCCAGGAUUGCUGGAAGAAGCCUCUACCCAAGCAGGACUGCCUUAAGCGGGACAAGUCGAUGGUGUAACUCCUAGGGGUUGCUUUCCCAUUGGAGGUCUGGAACUGGUGUGAGGAAGGAAGACAGAAUCUGCCUGGGAUUGGCUUGCAUCAUGGAUGGAAAAAAAAAAAGCUCCUGGAUUGGACUUGCUGACCCAGUAGGGGUCUGACUGCUUUACGAAAGAAAUCUCGGGAUUGUCCUUAGAAAUGGCAGACCCACCCGUACAGGUGGACCAAGGUUAAGUCGCUGAGGAUUACCCUGGUCUUUCCCAUCCACAGAGAGUGGGUGGCAGUUAGACCCAAAUAAAAAAGGCUCAGAAGAAGACCAGGAGUUGAAGUGGGAAACCAAAAGGCGGCGGCUCACCUCCUUGUCAUCCCACCUAAGCUAAUUUUGUUUUCUUCUCUGAAGGAGAGAAAUCAGAUCAUGAAAGCUUGUCUUCACCCUUGGGAUAGAGAGAGGAAAACCGGAAAGCCUUUCCUUCUGCCUGCCACGACUACCUCCCCAGGACGAGUUCAAGGCAUUCCACUCACGACACUAAACUUGAUUCUCAACAUUGAUUGUUUGGUUUUUGAAGCAUCUCUUUGUUGAGUUAAGAAGUCCUAAAGAGGAUCCAGUUAUCCGGGUCUUUGGGCCAAGUCUUGCUGGGUGCUCUAAGCUGGAAGUUCAGUUUAUGCGAAGCAAGUGGAAUUGUGUGUCCUUAUUGCUUUUCAAGGACUUUUCGAAGGCCACUUGAUGAUUCACAGAACGAUUUCCUCACUGCGCACCUAUGGGAGAGGCAGCCCAAAUAAUAUGAUCUCCUCUUCCCAGUUUAGACUCAGGGAAGUUAAGGGAUUUGCCCAGGAGCAGACAGCUAAUGAGGACCGAGUCCCGACUUGUGGUCUCCUAAGACUUUCCCCAAAUCCUCAGAUCACAAAAUCUCAGAGUCCAAAGGAACCUUGGAGUCCAUUGAGUUAAUCAAUGUGUUGACUUCAUA
This is a long non-coding RNA of Monodelphis domestica (gray short-tailed opossum), 3118 nucleotides long. RefSeq lists it as uncharacterized. The record is from RefSeq and is a predicted model, not a curated record. Lineage: Eukaryota; Metazoa; Chordata; Mammalia; Didelphimorphia; Didelphidae.